UAGGGAAUCUUCCACAAUGGGCGAAAGCCUGAUGGAGCAACGCCGCGUGUGUGAUGAAGGGUUUCGGCUCGUAAAACACUGUUGUAAGGGAAGAAUGACAUUGAGAGUAACUGUUCAAUGUGUGACGGUAUCUUACCAGAAAGGAACGGCUAAAUACGUGCCAC
RNAcentral lists this ribosomal RNA (164 nucleotides) under uncultured bacterium. RNAcentral's name for it is "partial 16S rRNA". It matches the Rfam family "Bacterial small subunit ribosomal RNA", at positions 355 to 511 of the family's 1533-position model. The record is from RNAcentral.